GACGAACGCUGGCGGCGUGCUUAACACAUGCAAGUCGAACGUGAUUUUUAUGGAAAUUCUUUCGGGAAUGGAAAUGAAAUGAAAGUGGCGAACGGGUGAGUAACACGUGAGCAACCUACCUUACACAGGGGGAUAGCCGUUGGAAACGACGAUUAAUGCCGCAUGAGACCACAGAAUCGCAUGAUAUAGGGGUCAAAGAUUUAUCGGUGUAAGAAGGGCUCGCGUCUGAUUAGCUAGUUGGAAGGGUAAAGGCCUACCAAGGCGACGAUCAGUAGCCGGUCUGAGAGGAUGAACGGCCACAUUGGAACUGAGACACGGUCCAAACUCCUACGGGAGGCAGCAGUGGGGAAUAUUGCACAAUGGGGGGAACCCUGAUGCAGCGACGCCGCGUGAGCGAAGAAGGUUUUCGAAUCGUAAAGCUCUGUCCUAUGAGAAGAUAAUG
Molecule: ribosomal RNA, 442 nt
Filed under: Parvimonas micra
Lineage: Bacteria; Bacillati; Bacillota; Tissierellia; Tissierellales; Peptoniphilaceae
Description: bacterial SSU rRNA
Rfam family: Bacterial small subunit ribosomal RNA
Source: RNAcentral